RNAcentral lists this unclassified non-coding RNA (484 nucleotides) under Hevea brasiliensis (rubber tree). Lineage: Eukaryota; Viridiplantae; Streptophyta; Magnoliopsida; Malpighiales; Euphorbiaceae. The record is from RNAcentral.
GCUGGAACAGCAGGUCCAGUGUGCACUGGCCCAUUUGAUGUGGUCAAAACAAGGCUAAUGGCUCAGAGUCGAGAGGGGGGCAAUCUGAAGUACAAAGGCAUGAUCCAUGCUAUCAGAACAAUAUAUGCUGAGGAAGGGCUUCUUGCCUUGUGGAAGGGACUGUUGCCUCGGCUGAUGAGAAUCCCACCUGGCCAGGCCAUAAUGUGGACUGUGGCUGACCAAAUUACUGGUCUCUAUGAGAGGAGAUAUAUACACAAUGCUCCCUUGUAGGUAAUGUUUACAUUGUUUUGCUUGUUCUGGUCUCUAGUCACCUAGCUAGGCCAUGACUGACUCAUGAGAGGAAGACAACUUUGGAGGUAUUUGCUUGCAUUGUUUUGCUUGUUCUGGUUUUAAAGUCCAUUGCAAGCGUGUAAUAAUAAAUUUCUUUAGUUUUUCUUCUUGAUUUGGUUGUUUAGAAGACACUGAAAUAUGAAAUGGAUAGCCG